This 375-nucleotide ribosomal RNA is filed under the name uncultured bacterium. Its description in RNAcentral is "bacterial SSU rRNA". It matches the Rfam family "Bacterial small subunit ribosomal RNA", at positions 28 to 404 of the family's 1533-position model. The record is from RNAcentral.
GACGAACGCUGGCGGCGUGCUUAACACAUGCAAGUCGAGCGGUAAGGCCCUUUCGGGGGUACACGAGCGGCGAACGGGUGAGUAACACGUGGGUGACCUGCCUUUAGCUCUGGGAUAAGCCUGGGAAACUGGGUCUAAUACCGGAUAUGACCCUAUGGCGCAUGUUGUGGGGUGGAAAGCCUUGUGCGGCUAGGGAUGGGCCCGCGGCCUAUCAGCUUGUUGGUGGGGUGAUGGCCUACCAAGGCGACGACGGGUAGCCGGCCUGAGAGGGCGACCGGCCACACUGGGACUGAGACACGGCCCAGACUCCUACGGGAGGCAGCAGUGGGGAAUCUUGCGCAAUGGGCGAAAGCCUGACGCAGCGACGCCGCGUGA